AUUGAACGCUGGCGGCAGGCCUAACACAUGCAAGUCGAACGAGUGGCGGACGGGUGAGUAAUGUCUGGGAAACUGCCUGAUGGAUGGGGCUCACUACUGGAAACGGUAGCUAAUACCGCAUACUAUCAGAUGUGCCCAUAUGGGAUUAGCUAGUUGGUGGGGUAAAGGCUCACCUAGGCGACGAUCUCUAGCUGGUCUGCGAGGAUGACCAGCCACACUGGAACUGAGACACGGUCCAGACUCCUACGGGAGGCAGCAGUGGGGAAUAUUGCACAAUGGGCGCAAGCCUGAUGCAGCCAUGCCGCGUGUAUGAAGAAGGCCUUAGGGUUGUAAAGUACUUUCAGCGGGGAGGCGUUACCCGCAGAAGAAGCACCGGCUAACUCCGUGCCAGCAGCCGCGGUAAUAC
This 406-nucleotide ribosomal RNA is filed under the name uncultured bacterium. Its description in RNAcentral is "partial 16S ribosomal RNA". It matches the Rfam family "Bacterial small subunit ribosomal RNA", at positions 30 to 526 of the family's 1533-position model. The record is from RNAcentral.